Long non-coding RNA from Armigeres subalbatus, 405 nucleotides. RefSeq lists it as uncharacterized. The transcript has 3 exons. The record is from RefSeq and is a predicted model, not a curated record. Lineage: Eukaryota; Metazoa; Arthropoda; Insecta; Diptera; Culicidae.
CAAGUGUAUGUUCAACUUCAAAUAUAGAGCAAAAUUUAUUUAUCGUGCAGUUGUUGUGGAAUUUGUUGAACCAGACUGAUUUUUUUCUUCGGUUUUCCCGGUUUUCCGAGUUUUUUUCUUCGUUUUUUGGGCUGAAAAACAAAGUUCCCAACAGCUCCUGUGUAAAAAUGGAGAAGAUUGACAAGGCCUUCUGGAUUUAAGCCAAUUUUAUUAUUCUAGUACAUAAACAUUGGGCAAUAAAGGAGUUUCUCGGAUCCCCAUACGACCAAGACAGACGAAACUGUUUCAUGAAACUAAAAACCUUAAAACUAAGUGCUGUUAAAAUAUCAUAAAUGUAACUACGUUUGUGAUAAAAAUAUGCAUUCUUCAAUUUUCUGUACAAUAAAUAUAUUGUCACAAUCUAAG